UGAAUAGACUUGGGUCACUGUAGAUGAGAGCAUCACAGCUUCCCCCUCAGGCCAACAAUGGAAUAGAGCAACUAUGCCUCUCAGCUUCAAUUGAAGGUCAUGAGUGAGUGAGUGUGAGUGUGUGUGUGUAUGUGUGUGUGUCCAGUCUAUGAUCUGUGUUCCAGGGGUUGUGAAACAGUCUUCCUGUUCAACACUUUCACAACCUGCAGUGGCUGCUGCUCUUGGGAUCUGAAAUUGAGGAUGACACAACACACUGUAAGGUGGCUGUGUGGGAAGCCUGCGACGCUCCAGUGGCAGCUUCAUUGAACUGUCUUCUUUGCUGCUCGCACGGUAGUUGUCAUCUGUAUCACUGAAGGAGUGUGCACUCAAGCCACCCCUGUUGGACAUGGUCGUGUCAUCUUCGACGCGCUUUACAGGUUUCCCAGGAAGCCUACGACCCUGAGUAUUGGGGACCUCGCGCCUCAGCCAUGCACAAGUUUUCCAUUGGCGGGUCCGGUGUCGGCUGCUCAGCCCAUUCUCAUACUUAAUCGAGCUAAUAUGUCUUCUUCGAAGGGUAGGCUAGAGGUGACUGGUCACUUAGACAUAGAUAUAUAAAAAUCAAUCAUUUCAAAUUCCC
Molecule: small RNA, 616 nt
Filed under: Histoplasma capsulatum
Lineage: Eukaryota; Fungi; Ascomycota; Eurotiomycetes; Onygenales; Ajellomycetaceae
Also listed under: 1 other name
Description: hypothetical RNA
Source: RNAcentral